AAGUUCUCCCCGCGGUAGACUUCAAAUACUCUUUGUCCUGCCCCUGCUUGGCGAAAUUUACCGAAAUUAUCUACCUAUCCCGCUGGAGUGGGAGCCGGGGGAGAGCUGGAACCGCGUCUCUGCUGCUCACCUUUGUGUCCUUAGCUCCUUCGCAUGGGGUCCGACCGCAACACGUGCGCUGGAUAAACGCUUGUUAACUGGAGCUCCCUCUUUGCCCACUAGCAGGGCAUUAGCUGGUGCUGAAGACAGUGGCUGCUUGGCGAGCCUGGAUCUCCAAGUGACCCCCUCAGCAACUCCUGAUGAACAGGACUGAAGCCAAUAUUAAAGCAAGUCAACCAAAGGUUCUCUGGUGUAGACAAGACAGCAAAAGGACAGACUACCUUGUGGAACCUAGCAUUGUUCUCCUUCUGCAGCACUAAGUAACAUUUGUUCUCCGUUAAGAUCUUUGCAAACCACACACAAGAAUUGCUGGUCAUCCUGCCAAUAGAUGCUGCUCACAGAACCAAAUUUCCUGUGCUGAAUUGUCACUCAUGGGCUUGAGAGUAGGAGACUGGAGACCAAGGUGGCUAGAAUCCAGUUGGGCCUGAUGUCUCCCUGUUGAAAGGGCUCCUUGUGGAAUGAAUAGCACAUGGCUCCUGUGGUGGAUCUGAUAGUGGCAUAGCACCAAGUGAUGCAGGCCUGCCAGGGGCCACAGACACAGAAGAUGCUCCCGGGGUCCCCCAUGUACUCCAGACACACUGCAGGCCACCUCUCCCAGCAGGUUGCCAGUCAUGGGCCCCAUCAUCAUGACUUCUGUCCAAGGUGUGCUCGGAAAUCUCUUCCUUAACUGUGACUUUCUGACAGGUGGAGGAUGUGGUCAGGAGUGGGAAAAGGAUUCGAGACGGGAAGAGGGAGGGGUUCAGGAUGAAGAGAGAUAAUCUGUGCCACAGAUGCUGGCCCUGCAGUUAGCUCCCACCUAGUCCGUGCACACACAUUCUAAUCCCCUCCCAUUCCUUUACAUGCUGCGGCCAGAGAGGCCUUUCUCAAAGUGGAAGUCUCAUCCUCACUUCUCUGGUUACAGUGCUGGGCCAUGGUAACUUACAAGGCUUAGCAGGAACUGUCUGCGCACUCCCCCUUCCUGCCCACUACCUUGUUUCCCUCCAGUUGCGAGAGAAAACAUUGAUUGAGCAUUAACUAUGUGCCAGGCUUGUCCUAAGUCCUUUGCAUGUAUUCACUCAAACAAUCCUCACAACAUUCCUAUCACAUCUCCCAUUUCACAGUGAGGGUUCUAAAGCACGUAGUGGGUGAGGAACUUGUCCAGGGUCACACAACUAAGUGGGGGUGGAGAAACAUCAAAUCUAGGUGGUCCAGGUGGUGGCCAGAACCCAUCAGCACCUCACUACAGCUGCCUCCAGUUUCUCGCUCUAGGAAAUACUCUUCCCUGUCAACUCCUGUUGUCCUCUGGGCUCAGUUGACAUGUCAUCUCCUUGAGGAGGACAUCCUGAGAUGCUCCCCGACUAGGGUGGGCACCCACUUCCACACUCCAAAUGCCUAUUUGACCUGUGUAUCGCUGCAUCCCCACUGCCUGGCAGAUAGCAGGCCCCUAAUAAAUAUGAUUUGAGCAAAUAAAUAUAGUUCUUCAAAAAAUAGGGAGGACUUCUUGCUUCAGGUAAUGGUAGGCUAGGACAUUUGGACCAACCCUCCUGCAGAAAAUAGCCAUUUAUUUUGAUGCAAUAUAUCUGGCUAUGACUAGAGAUUUCAAAUAUUUGGAGGGCUAUUAUGUGAAGAACUAAACUUACUCUUUGUGACAUAGAGGUCAGAAAUUGGUCGUUUCCAUAGAGUAUGAGAGAGACAGAAUUGUGCUCAUCAUAAGUAUCUUUUUUAAAAGUUAGACUUAAUAAAAUGGGCUGCCUUGGUAGGUGGUGAGUUCUCUGUCACGAAAGAGAUUCAGCCACUUGCUCUGAGAAAGCAUGGAGAAUAUCAACAUUGUAAGGGUCGACCACCUCAUCUCUGAGGCCCCCUCCUCACUUAGGUUGCCAUUGCAGGUGGAACACUGGGCUGAGUGUCAAAGAACCUGGGUUCCACAAGCUGUGCGACCAUGGCUGGUUGUUUUGGAUCUCAUUCCUAAUAUCUGUUAGUUAAGCUGACCCGUCAAUACUGACCCACUUCACAGAGUUAUGAAGGGAUUAAAUUAGGUAUUACAUGUAAAUCUGUUUUGUUUGCUUUUUGUUGUUCUUUUUUGUUUUGCUUUUUUCUUUGCAUUAUGAAAUCCCAAGUCAACUUUUUCCAUUCUUUUAUUUUUUUAAAAAUUGACAUCAUCAUUAUAACCACAAAAUAAUUUUUAAAAUGGAAAAAAAAAACUCACCUGCAACCCCACAAUCUAAUACAAUAAUCAUACUUUUUUCCCUUUAUUCUCCUUUAUUGUGACCAAGGAUGACUUUGGGCAUUGCUGUGAGGAACUAUUUCGUUUAACACCCUACUACCUGAACAUGAUGCGUACUCAGCCUUUCACCACCCCCCAAGUAGCUACACAUGAUGUGAUAAUAGUAUUGGUGGUGGUUUUAGAGAGUUGGAGAGAAAACUGAAGUUGGAUUUGGGUAAAAGAAAAAAGAGUGGGAAUUAUUUUUUCUCCAUUCUAAAGCCCAUAAAGCAAUGUUAAUUGUUCCCACCCCUCUGCUAUUCUGUCUCCUCAGGUACUGUGUGCAGAAAUGUGAUUGAGAUUCAAGUCAGGGCCUCUCUGCCCUUUUCCCUCCAGAAACAAAACCAAGAUAAUUUAUCCUGAACACGGUGAAAAAAGGAAGGGAGGGAGGAGAAAAAGUCCGGGUCUCACCUGGGAUUCUCUGUCUCCUGCAACAUGAAGGAUUUAGCCUGGGAGGAGGUGGUGAGAACUCUGGGAGAGAAAAAAGAAGGAAAGAAUAGUUUUACCCAUGCUGAAGUUAAUUUAAACCUUCACCUAGAGAAGCAAAAAAAAAAAACCCACACUUUCCCAUUUUGUGCCUCCCUUCCUAGAGUUUUAGCCAAAGGUUUAGCUAAGUAAUUGGUUUUACCAGCGCACUCACUCCUCCUAUCCCAAGUCUGUUUGACUCCCUCCCCAUCAUCCUCCUCACCUCUUUUCAGGCAGGGUGGGGAUAGCAGCAGGAGGAGAUUUUGGGAGCCUGGCAACUCCUGCAAGGACCGCAGGACAGCCCCUCUGUGGGGAUGCGUGGUGCCCCAUCUGCCGCCCUUCUGAAGAAUGCACUGCCUUCACUUUUUACUGUGUUAGAGUCCAUCCAGACUGUUCUAUCCAAAAAAGUUUCUUUUUCCCCCACAGGCAAUCAGGAAAUGAUUCCUUUCCCGACUGCUUCUGUCUAGUGCCUGGGAAUCUUGAGUCAAUCCCUCAGUAAGUCAGUGACUAGGGAAAUCCCUCUCUGAGCCUCCCAGUUCAUGUUGCUUAGGGAACCUGAUAUUUUCGUGAAACCUGCCUACACAUGGGCAGCCCAACAGCAGAACAAAUGGUGGUGACCAAAGUGAACAAAGAAGUAUAGUUGUGCCAGCUUCGUAGUUGCCCAUGUGGACAAGUCAGCAGGAUCAGGACACGAGGAAGAGUAAAUGUGAGACAGUCAAUGUGACUUCUGCGAUAAACAGAUUUUUAAACCCCGAAAUUUUGCAAAAUUUUGGUGAAACCUGAACUUUCUUCGUUGCAUAUACUGGCACUAUCUGUACCAUCAUACAACUGUCUCACAUUAAAGCUAUUUUUCUUGGGCACUGAUGAGUAAGGUUGGUAUAAGUUCCUCAGAUCAACAAAAACCCAUUUUCCUGUAAGUCUUACAUUUAGUAUUUAAGGAACUAAAACUUAAAUACAUUUUGUGAAAUGGUUGACACUUCACUGAUAAUGAUUUAUUGCUUGGAUUAAUAAAUUUUCCAAAAGUUGUCUUAUGUAGAAUAUGGUUUGCAACCAGCAGAACCAUUAAUCUAUACUGCAAUGAUAUGCACUAUGUAUAAUUGUUUAAAAGCCUCUACUUAAUGAUGUAAAAUGCUCUAUUUAAUUACACAUUUGGGUAAACUGUAUACUAACAUCUGAUGGCAUUUUUCCACUGUUUGUUGCUUUUUUCAAAUACUUUAUUGUACAAAGCUGUUCUUAAUAUUUUUCAAGUUUUUUUCUUUGAAUUUUGCUAAUGUUUUCCUUGAAUUAUGAGCACUGACAGAAUGUGCUUAGCACUUUUGGCUAUUCACACAGCUUUUGAGCAUGAUUUGCAUCCAAUAUUUACAUUGCUAGCAAUAAUAAGCCAUCUGUGAGUUUUGUCAAAA
RNAcentral lists this long non-coding RNA (4266 nucleotides) under Homo sapiens (human). RNAcentral describes it as "non-protein coding lnc-TRIM26-2:60". Lineage: Eukaryota; Metazoa; Chordata; Mammalia; Primates; Hominidae. The record is from RNAcentral.